GAUGAACGCUAGCGGCAGGCCUAAUACAUGCAAGUCGAACGAUAUUACCCAGCUUGCUGGGUAUGAAAGUGGCGCACGGGUGCGUAACGCGUAUGCAACCUACCUUAUUCAGGGGGAUAGCCCGAAGAAAUUCGGAUUAACACCGCAUAAAAUCACAGUUCAGCAUUGGACAAUGAUCAAAUAUUUAUAGGAAUAAGAUGGGCAUGCGUGUCAUUAGCUAGUUGGCGGGGUAACGGCUCACCAAGGCGACGAUGACUAGGGGAUCUGAGAGGAUGACCCCCCACACUGGUACUGAGACACGGACCAGACUCCUACGGGAGGCAGCAGUAAGGAAUAUUGGUCAAUGGAGGCAACUCUGAACCAGCCAUGCCGCGUGCAGGAAGACGGCCCUCUGGGUUGUAAACUGCUUUUAUUCGGGAAUAAACCUAUUUACGUGUAAAUAGCUGAAUGUACCGAAGGAAUAAGGAUCGGCUAACUCCGUGCCAGCCGCCGCGGUAA
RNAcentral lists this ribosomal RNA (498 nucleotides) under uncultured bacterium. RNAcentral describes it as "partial 16S ribosomal RNA". It matches the Rfam family "Bacterial small subunit ribosomal RNA", at positions 28 to 523 of the family's 1533-position model. The record is from RNAcentral.